CCAAGUGUUGCAUACAGAUUGAUGUCCUGGUAACAGACGUGAACAAAUAGGUAUUUCUACUUAUUUACAUUUUCUUUCUAAUCAGCAGAAUAGUGAUAUCUAAUCCCAGGUGGAGGACUUGAAUAUUCUCUCCCAGACUUCACUUACUGAGUGUACUAUCUAUGGUAAAUGCUUAGAAGUUUUUGUUUAUGUCUCCAGGCAUAGGUAUUAAAUUUUGUUCAAAUCAAUACCCAACACCCUCUAUUGAGCAGUAGAAGUGCACUAGAAUGUUAACAAUUCUUUCCUUUUUCCCAAUUCACUGUACAACUGUUUUCUUCAUCACUUUCUAACAUUAAUGAUUUAGUGGCUGGAGAUUUAAUUGUUGGUUGGCUUGAAAGUUGAUCAAUAUAGAUUGAAGUCCUGAUAAGUGAGGGAUUAUGCAGAGAACACCUUGAGUCUAACUCUACGUCAUCUAAGAAGUUUAGGGCACCAUUUUCUCUCACUGUUCAACUUGUUGUGGAACCAUAAACUGACUUAAAAAACUGCUCUACAGUCCUUCUUUACCCUUCAGAGUUGCAUCCAGGACUGGUCUACUCAACGCUUUAGACAUUUCCACAACCUGGAUGGCAUGUACAUAUUCUUAUCCAGUCUAAGAAUAAAGAUAUCACUUGUUAGUUGAAGUUAAAUUUGUAACUUCAUGCAGGUUAUGCCCACUUCUGACCUUAGUUUACCUAAUCUUCUUAAGAUUCAACAGUCAAUUUAUUCAGUCGAUGACAUAAGUUUAGAAUACGCUAUGAAACAAAAGGCUAAUUUUUUGGAAGAUGCUGGUUCCUUUGAAGGAAAGCUUCAUUUUCAUAAUCUCCACUUUCCCCACUUUGAAGUGGACGGGGAAAGUCUGGGUAUCAUCUUGUAGGCUAUGCCCACUUCUGACCUUAGUUUACCUAAUCUUCUUAGAUUCAACAAUCAGUUUUAUUCAGUUGAUGACAUCAGUUUAGACUAUGGAACAAAAGGCUGAUUUUUUGGAAGAUGUUGGUUCCUGUGAAAGAGAGCUUCAUUUUCAUAAUCUUCACUUUCUCCAUUUUGAAGUGGACGGGGAAAGUCAGGGUAUCAUCAGAAAUAUAAAUAUGGAGGAUGAGCUUCGAGAUUUUUAAAAUAUUGAACCUCAGCAUCGGACAGAACUAGUAUUGGAUGAUGGCAAGGAGCUUUUGAGUUCAAUUGAAUUUGACUUAAUGAAAUAUCUCUCUGGUCAUCAUUUAGCAGUUCAGUGCCUUGAAGUUGAGUUGCACUGCUCAAAUUUUGCACUGCAAAUGGACUACUUAAGUGUUGUAGAACAAUCUCAUUGUGAAGAGUACCCAACAUUCCAUCAAGGCAAAGCAGAUGGUUAUAUAAUUGGAUCAAUGAACAUGCGUCUAUUUUAAGAAUUCCAAUUCUUUGAUAAGGAUCCAUCUUGUUCUUGUGUGGUCUUCUCAGAUGCAGCCAAAGAGAUUGAAGCAGAACCGUGUGAAUUCAUGUUUCAGAGAAACUAUGAUCUUUAGGAAUUUUAGUGAAUUGAUUGUUUGUCCAAACUUUCUCACAUGGAUGACUCUUUCAAAUCAUUGCCAGUACCUAUUAUUUCUGGCCAUGGAAGAAUUAGGUCUGCAUUUAUUGGUUGAGCAAAAAUUAACACGGGAAAUCACAGUCUUCAUCAACACCUGAUGGUCUAUAUCUAGAUUGGCAUUUUCUGGAAGAUGACAACUUUGGUAAAUAUUCUUCUUGUAGGAAAAUGCUGUGGGAGAUAGAUACUUACAAGAUAGAUGCUUCUAUGUACUUGAUUGAUAGUAGGAAACAGACCUAUGAUAUCAAUCUCCCUAAGGAUUGUUCUGACAAACCACUCAGAAGCCUUAAAGAAAAUGCUGAACUUACUUUCUGCUGGUUUUUUUUUAUAUGUUUCAUACUUCUGUUGAUGAGAAAGAUUCAGAUAGUUUUUAUAACCACAGAGAUAAAAAAGGUUAAACACGGACAUGUUGUCGAAAGCCGGCAUUGAGAAGGUUCCUUUGUUUGUGGAAUCCAUGUCUAGCGAUCUUGAUUUUUUCUUAAAUUUCAAUUGAUGUCACAGGAAAAGAAAGUAAACUUGCAGAUAAGUUUGUUGAUAUUGUUACAUGUCCAGGGCUUUCUGCAAAUGAUGAUUCUAUUGCUAGUAAUACUACCACCAUGGUUCAACAGCAGUGGAUUGUCGGGUUGCACCAGAGUCUAGAUCAAGCUAGUGAGAACCUGAUUUUACUCUGCCUUUCUAAAGAAGAACUCAUGGAUGGUCUUAAGAAAAAAGUGCAUCAAGUACUUAUUCAGCUCACAAUGACAAUAAUAUUAUAUUGUUGAUGACGUUGUGUGCAAUUAAACAAAUGCCUCUCUACCUCUGUUUCUAUGGAGUCAUGCCACUUACCUAUAUGUAGACAGGUUGUGCAGCAGCCUGCAGUGCUUAAAAUCCAGAUUAUGUUUUCUGUAUAACUUGAUCAAAGUUGCGGAUGAGAUGGCUGAGAAAGAUAUAUGUGAAAUUCAUCCCUCCCUUUCUGUCGUGCAUGAUAUUUUGCGGACAAAAUUAAGCAGCAGCUGUUUAAAAAUAUUAAUUGUUUGCUGACCAAGUUUUAUUGUGGCCAUUGAAGAGACUGUUGACAUCAUGAAGAUAUUAUAUAAUGAGCUACAUCAUUUAUCGUCGGAUGCAAGUCAACAGGGUCAUGAGUUCAUGGACACCAUACUAAAUAUUAUGCUUUCCUUGGAUUGUUGUGUGAUAUCCUAUGAAUUUUAGAGGGAUAAGCCAAUUUUCUAUCAGGAAUUAUGGAAUCAAAUGAACUCUAUGCUGCAGCAGCUAGCUUAGGAAUCGAUAUACAUCUCUUCUGUUCAUAUUCAUCUGAAGAUGACUGACAAAACUCUAUUAUCCUGCAUUGAGGAGGCACACGCAUUGAAUUUCUAGAAAUUUCCGUUGAGGAUAAAAUUUGGGCUCUAUAAGAAUCUCAGGUUUCUGACGAAACCAUUGCUUUGCUAAGUGAAAAGAGCUGAUAUGGAGUUUGGGAGGAUUCAAAAUCUGGAAUGACAGGCUGCUCCUCUUUAGUGUCUUCAGCUCCCGACUUAGAGACUGCUGAAUUCAGAAGUGCUUCUGAGGGGAAGAAACUAAAAUAUACUCACAAUCUUUAUGAUGCCAGAGAGCCUCCAAACGAUUUGUUUCAUAUGGAGUCAUUGAAAGCUAUUUUCAGGCGACGUACUCCAUCACCCAAAGCAUCAAUUUCAUGUGAUUCUUGGCUGUCAGGAAGUACAGAGAAAUUUGAUGAAUCUGGGUGCAUCAGAUCUCGAAAUACUAGGUGAGAUGGAGAAGGCUACAAUGGCUCAGAUUGGUGUAAAUUAUGAUCGAAGAGGGAGAUCAGGUACAUCUGCAAUGAUCAACUAUAGUAGACAAAAUACCAAGGCUUCUGAAAAUCUACAGGAAGAUUUGAUUGGUGAAGUUAUUGACAUCGACGAUACUCCAGCAUUUAGAAAUAUCGGUGACUGUUCACCAUUUCUGCUUGAUUGGGGGGGGAGCGGGUGGUGUUGGUUAGAUUAUGCAACGAGAAAAUCCAGAAUGAAUAAACCAUUUCCAGGAGUAAGCAAAGUUCCUAUUUAUACAGAUGCUGUUGAAAUUAAUUCUGCCUCAGAUGCCUGGGUUUCUAUUAGGGACAUUAGACAAAGUUCAAAGGAAGAAAUUAGGGAACAUUUUGAUACAGUUGAAAAAAAAAAAAAAUCAUUGAAGUGCCAGAAAAGGCACUUCCAGGAGGAUAUGUUACAGACAAAAUUCCUACAAAUUAUCUUUCCAAGAAAAGGGUCCUCAAAACUAUGGCAGAACACCACUUUCUAAUUCUCUUCUUCUCCACCCGACCUCAACCAGGAUUGUCCUGGACGAUUGAGUUUCUAAACAGAAUAAGGGAAAAGAGUAGAUUGCAACAACAUUCUCUUCCAUGUAACUUAUCCUCGCAUCAAAGGUUACUAGAAGGAAGAGUUCAUCUAUUCUUGAAUUGUACCAAGGAGGCAUCACCUCAGAGAAUAGUCGAAGGAAAGAGACGAAGGAGGCUUCACAACGUUCAAGUUCAUCAUUGAACAAUAAGAGUUUAGCGUCUUGCCAUCAAGCAUUGACUCCAAUCGAUAAGAGAGCAAUUCGGGUGCAUUAAUUGAACUUCUAUCUUAUACCGGAAAAUCUUCUCCUAUUGCAUCCUGAUCUUUAUUUGAUCAACUGCAGAUGCUAUCUUUUGCAACAAAUGGAAAUGGAGGGGGCAAAGUAUGCUGGUCUGGAUUGAUAAAAGUUUUCAUACUUUCAACAGAAGAUUUUAGCGUUGAUUACAAUAUGGCAAGAAGUUUGCAUGAUCAUGUAUUUGCUAAAAUUGUUCAAGAGAGUGGCAAGUUUUUAAGUUCUUAUAUUUGGUUAAUCUAUACCACUAACAAAAAGGGUGCUUCUUUAUGACCCAAGUAUUGUAGCAACAAGAAGUAACUCUCUGGCAUUCUCAAGCUUUUUUUCAUCUCAAAUUUCCCAGGGUAUAUAGAGAAUCAUCAAUGCAAACAGAUAUAUAUGGUAGGCGCCUAGUGUUCUCUGGACCAGUUUACGCCAAAAUUAUUUGAAGAUAUGUUUUGGAUCGUGAAUUUCUCGAGGAGAAAGGUAAUGGAAGAGUUUUGGUUGUUGACGGUGAAGGUAGUUGAGAUGUGCAAUAUUAGGCGGCAAACUUGCUGUACAAGCUCAGAACAAUGGAUGUGCCGGUACAGCAGUUGAUGACUGCAUAAGGGAUGUGGAUGAAAUCAAUGGUUGUUGUAUUGGAGUGAGAGCUCUGGCUUCACAUUCAGUGAAAGCUAAUAAGGGGAUUGGAGAAAAGCAUGAAUUCAAGAAUUGGAUGCUUUUAAGUGGGCCUUUUGGUCAAAAUAAUUGAAAUUCGGCUCGUCACUUUAUUUUUGUGGCUGCCUAAACCAAAAAAGAACAGCUCAUAUUUGAUGGAAUUUUUGGGUCUUGUAGCGAUGAUUGCUAUUAAAGAGGAAGAGGAUUCUUUCAUAUUGAUUCCCAAGAAAAAAAUAAUUAACAAAAAGAAAAGAUUGGAGAGGAUUACAUGUGAUCUUUCACCCAUCUAUAUA
Olea europaea var. sylvestris is the source of this 5097-nucleotide RNA transcript. RefSeq lists it as uncharacterized. The record is from RefSeq and is a predicted model, not a curated record. The transcript has 5 exons. Lineage: Eukaryota; Viridiplantae; Streptophyta; Magnoliopsida; Lamiales; Oleaceae.